Molecule: small nucleolar RNA, 129 nt
Organism: Anolis carolinensis (green anole)
Lineage: Eukaryota; Metazoa; Chordata; Lepidosauria; Squamata; Anolidae
Gene: SNORA71
Rfam family: Small nucleolar RNA SNORA71
About the family: The members of this family belong to the H/ACA class of snoRNAs which bind a number of proteins (including dyskerin, Gar1p and Nop10p) to form snoRNP complexes. This class of snoRNAs are thought to guide the sites of modification of uridines to pseudouridines by forming direct base pairing interactions with substrate RNAs.
Source: Ensembl
ACCUGCAUCGAAAGUGAUUUUGGUCUUGUUUGUGGCCGAAUCAUUGAUAGUGCAGGAAAAGAAUUCUUGACAGCAUUUCCCGUGUUUGGAGGGCCACUCAUCCCUAUCAAACCCUGAGCUUUUCAGACA